UCUGCAGUUCAUCCUAACCCACCUUCCUGCAGCAUCUAUUUGCAGGCUUGGCCAGGAAACAGAUGUGAUGCCCUUAGACAAGGUCUUCAGGUCUGGGCUAAACUCACCACCAUGUUCUUCCUAACUUUGGACUGUGCUCUCUGGGAAAGCUUAUCUCCUCUUGCACACAGAUGACCACAGGCCUUGUAAAUCUUUGAAGUUCCUUUACCAGGCCUUUAGUCUUACAUUUUUUGGAAGGUAGAGAAAUUAACCUUUGCUAUGAUUAUUGCUAUGAUGGUGGUGGCUGUGGCUUUUAAUCACUCAGAUGAUUCUGUUGGACUAUGCUCCUGGGAAUACUGAUUUUCCUAUACCAAGAAGACUUAAGAUAAAAGCUUUGUAAGGGAUCCCAACAUGUUGUAACAGUUCACAGACAAAAACAGACCUCCACUUUUCGGAUGGGUAGAAGAUUCUAGAAACCAGUUCUUUGCCCUACUUCUAGUUCCCAAGAGCUCCUUGAGGAGGCGUCACUGAGCCCAGGUUUAAGGCCAUCGUGCUAGUUCAUCUUAGUGUCUCCAAACCCCCAAGAAGUGACAAGACUCACUAAGGUAGUUCGGGAACACUGUAGAAGAUACAAGGUCAAAGCUAGUGCUGUGAGGCCCCUGUCCAUGCUCCUUUCUGCAUCAUACCGUGUGCUCUUUGGACUUGGCUCUCCAGGAACUGUGAAGACCUUGGCAGCAGGUUUAUUAAAUAAAAGACAAAAAUGUGAUGCAGUGGGAAGAAGCAGUCUGGAAGGACACCAUUCAGUGCCAUAACCAUCAACCACAGCUGGCUGCUGAGCACUUGAAUAGGACGCGUCCAGUGGAGAUGAGUUACUUUCAUCUUUACCUGAGUAAAGCACGAUCAAUGUUCCUGUCCAGCAACUCCAAUUAGGCCACUCCAGACAACUCUGCUGA
This is a long non-coding RNA of Chinchilla lanigera (long-tailed chinchilla), 932 nucleotides long. RefSeq lists it as uncharacterized. Lineage: Eukaryota; Metazoa; Chordata; Mammalia; Rodentia; Chinchillidae. The transcript has 4 exons. The record is from RefSeq and is a predicted model, not a curated record.